CUCUGGUAAAUUGUCAAACUAUUCUCACUACUUACUUUGGAAGGGCGCCAGGGCUCUCCUAGCACCAUAACCACUAUUGCUGGCUGUCGUAGUUAUAGUGCGUGGUAUGUUCCUUUAUUUUCUGACUAACUUUGUAUAAUAUCAUGUGAAAGUUUCACACAGAACAGAACUCACAGAUUACUUGCUCCAAACAAAAAUUGUUAAUUAGAAAAUGAGUGUCAGGUUCCUAUCCUGACAACCAAAGUUAUGUUUCAUGUAUAGGUUUUCUUAAUACCUAAUAACCUGUCUGGGGCUUAUUGCCUAAACUGUCUAUUUUAUUAUUGCUCUAAAUACCUAUAAUCUCGCUUAUAGGUUCUGCAUUAACCCUUUGUACUAUAUUUUCCAUUAUAGGCGUUAUUUCCUAAGUUACCUGUUUUAAGCAUAUUCCCUAAACCUCUAUUUAACCACUUAAGGACUGAGCCAAUUGUACAAGUUGUGACAAAUCAAAACGUAAACAAAACCUUGAAUUUGCGCUAUAUGUCUGUUCAGGCGUAAUUCACCCCUUUCAUAUUAUGUGUACCCACACAUAUAUCAUUUUAUUCAGGAGAAACAGCCC
Molecule: non-coding RNA, 595 nt
Organism: Pelobates cultripes (western spadefoot toad)
Lineage: Eukaryota; Metazoa; Chordata; Amphibia; Anura; Pelobatidae
Source: the annotation of a GenBank genome assembly